RNAcentral lists this ribosomal RNA (518 nucleotides) under fungal sp. E15802A. RNAcentral describes it as "eukaryotic LSU rRNA". The stretch from base 179 to 332 matches the Rfam family "5.8S ribosomal RNA". The record is from RNAcentral. Lineage: Eukaryota; Fungi.
AUUGCUGGAACGCGCUUCGGCGCACCCAGAAACCCUUUGUGAACUUAUACCUAUUGUUGCCUCGGCGAAGGCCGGCCUCUCUUCUGAGGCCCCCCGGAGACGGGGAGCAGCCCGCCGGCGGCCAACCAAACUCUUGUUUCUUAGUGAAUCUCUGAGUAAAAAAACAUAAAUGAAUCAAAACUUUCAACAACGGAUCUCUUGGUUCUGGCAUCGAUGAAGAACGCAGCGAAAUGCGAUAAGUAAUGUGAAUUGCAGAAUUCAGUGAAUCAUCGAAUCUUUGAACGCACAUUGCGCCCUCUGGUAUUCCGGAGGGCAUGCCUGUUCGAGCGUCAUUUCAACCCUCAAGCCUGGCUUGGUGUUGGGGCACUGCCUGUAAAAGGGCAGGCCCUGAAAUCUAGUGGCGAGCUCGCUAGGACCCCGAGCGUAGUAGUUAUAUCUCGUUCUGGAAGGCCCUGGCGGUGCCCUGCCGUUAAACCCCCAACUUCUGAAAUUUUGACCUCGGAUCAGGUAGGAAUACC